GAUGAACGCUGGCGGCGUGCCUAAUACAUGCAAGUCGAGCGAACAGACGAGGAGCUUGCUCCUCUGACGUUAGCGGCGGACGGGUGAGUCACACGUGGAUAACCUACCUAUAAGACUGGGAUAACUACGGGAAACCGGAGCUAAUACCGGAUAAUAUAUUGAACCGCAUGGUUCAAUAGUGAAAGACGGUUUUGCUGUCACUUAUAGAUGGAUCCGCGCCGCAUUAGCUAGUUGUUAAGGUAACGGCUUACCACGGCAACGAUGCGUAGCCGACCGGAGAGGGGGGUAGGCCACACGGGAGCGGAGCCACGGUCCAGGCGCCUACGGGAGGGAGCAGUAGGGAAUCUGCCGCAAUAGGCGAAAACCUGACGGAGCAACGGCACGUGAGUGAUAAAGGUGUUCGGAUCGUAAAACUCUGUUAUUAGGGAAGAACAAAUGUGUAAGGAAAUAUGCACGUCUUGACGGUACCUAAUCAAAAAGCAACGGCUAACUACGUG
Molecule: ribosomal RNA, 497 nt
Filed under: uncultured bacterium
Lineage: Bacteria
Description: partial 16S ribosomal RNA
Rfam family: Bacterial small subunit ribosomal RNA
Source: RNAcentral